CAAACAAUCAAUCAGGUUUAUAAAUUAUUUAUAAAAAACUACUUAGAAUACCUACAACAUACUCACAUAUAUAGAAAGUAAAUACAGCUGCUGUGGAGACUUCGCGUAAACCAGAACAAGUUUAAGGACAACGCUAGAGAAGUAAGCAACAAUAUUCUAGGAACUACGAAAACAACUUUGCAACUUGAAGGCUGAAAAAAACAUUUUGAUAAUCCCCAAAAAAUAAAAACAAAAAACACACAAAAAAUAUAUAUAUAUGCAACAAGUGUAAAGAAGAAGAGACUGAUUUUUACAAGAAGAACAAGUUAAGGAAGCUGAAGAGCAGCGAGUUUACUAACUAGAGGCAGAUUUAGAGGCAACAACGCAAAGUGAUUCAGGAUCAAAUCCAAUAAGCAGACAGAAAUAUAUAUACAAAUAUAUAUUCACAUAUAUAUAUAUAUAUAGAACUUAGAUUGGCCAACAUGCUGAAGAAACUGAAGUGCAUGGAGGCCGCAGCAGCAGCAGCUGCUGCCGCUGCCGCCGCUGCCAGCAGCAAUGCCAAGCACAUCAAGACGGAGCCC
This 560-nucleotide small RNA is filed under the name Drosophila mojavensis. RNAcentral's name for it is "GI25531". The record is from RNAcentral. Lineage: Eukaryota; Metazoa; Arthropoda; Insecta; Diptera; Drosophilidae.